RNAcentral lists this long non-coding RNA (3405 nucleotides) under Homo sapiens (human). RNAcentral's name for it is "HSALNT0131224". The record is from RNAcentral. Lineage: Eukaryota; Metazoa; Chordata; Mammalia; Primates; Hominidae.
GUUCCCUCAGUGGAGGAGGCGAGCUGAUUGGGUCAGCUGGGAGCUAAGUGAGGUCACAGGGAGGGGCCCCUACCCUGUAUAAUUGUAUCUUUAUAAGGAGUGAAAGAGACACCAUCUACGGCUUCGCUCCUGGGGAGCCAGAAGCAUGGAAUCAGAUGCCAAGAGGAUUAGGCCACCAACUUUGGCGUGUGCUCUUCGGGCCUGCCGUCUAACAGAAUGAGGGUUCCAGCGGUGUUCGCAUCAUCAGACGUCUAGUGUUCUGCACAUAAAACAAGCUCUUGAGGUCAGGAGACAACAUGCAAUCUAGCAGGCAGGUAGCUCGUGAAGCGUCUCAUCUCCCAGCAUAACAAGUGCUUCUCCAUCCAUAUGUACAGAAUUCCACUCUCCAGGUGGGAACGUUGUGAUGGAAUACGCUCUGAGAGAUAGAGGAGGCGACUUCUGCCAGGAGUGAUCAGGAGGACUUCUUGGAGGAGGCAGCACUUGAGCUGGUCUUGAAAGAUGAUGAGAUUUUAAUGGGAAAAGAGAUGAUCGAGAAGAACCUUCUAGCAGGAGGGAGCUGCCCUAGCAAAGACAGGAAGGCUGGAAAAUGCGAGAAGUGGGACAGGAAGAUCAACACAGGACCUCUCCCUUCUGAGCCAAACUGACACCUACCUCUUGCCAUGACAGGCCGCUCUUCUGGAGAUUAUAAACUAUUUAUUUUUAACAGAGAAACUGCCUUAGUUGGAGUUCUGGCUCUGCCACUUACUUAGGUAAGAAAGAACUUCUUGGGCCUCAGGCCCUCACCUGUAAAAGGGGCUGAAUAAUAGGAUUGUGCCUCUCUCCAAUGGGCUGUUAGAGGUUGGACUGCAUGCCCCCAAUACUCUUAUGCUGAGGCCUAACCCGGUGUGACUGCACAUGGAGACAGGGUGUGUAGGGAGGGGAUGAAGCUUAAGUGAGGCCACAGGGGAGGCCCAACCCUGUAGAGUCGUGUCUUUAUAAGGAGUGAAAGAGACACCAUUGCUUGCUUCUCUCCUGUGGGCAGAGGAAAGGCCAGGUGAGGACACAGGCAGGAGGUGCCCCCGCAGCCUCAGGCAGAGCCCUCACCACGCCAGCCCUGCUGACGCCUUGAUCUUGGACUCCCAGGCGUCUGCUGCAUAAGCCACCCCGUCCGACGUACUUUCCCAUGGCAGCUUGAGCAGAAUGAGACUGGGGCUUUGGAAGAAGGAACUUCACAUGACCUCUAAUUACUACUGCGUUCUUAUGAGGAGUGCCUUGUGCUUUGCAGCAUCUAACGUCUUGGUAGUGACCUGCCAGUGCCUGUCCAACCUGUCAGCAGAUCACGGUCGCGAACCCUGGGAGAGAGCUGACAACACGUUUCCCGUGUGAGACUCUGUGUCUCCCGAGAAGCAGACACCAAGACAGGAUGAGAGAUGCACAGAUUUUAUUGGGAAAAACACCUGCAGGAGAAAACGGUCAUCAGAGCCUGAACAAGUCCUCCCGCAAUGACCUACCAGGUGGUGCCAGGCCUGUAGCAGGUACCCUGGAUCGGAUCGGCUGCUCUGCUCCACGAGGCUCCCAGCACCAUCUCAGCAGGUCGGCGCUGCCUCAGGUCUGAAAUGAUGUCUUCUCUUUCCUGUUUUCUGAGCAGCUCAUUCUGCUGCCCGUCAAAUAGGCCCUUUCCCCAGGACCCUUGGGGUCCAGCUGAGUGGAGCAGCCUCCCACACUGGAAGCCUUGAGUUUUCCCCACCUGGGCCUUUCUCUCUGUCCCUGACAUCCGGUUGGUCACCAGAUCCUGGCAGUUGAAAGUCAUUCUCAAGUCCAGCCCCACCACUGCACCUCGGUCCAUGCUCCUGGACACCAGUCUCUCACCGAGCGCUAUGCGUGGCUUGCGUCUGCGGCUGAGAAAUCCUUUCAAACGCACGCCUUCCCUAUUAUAUCCAGCAUAGGAUCUGACCCGGCAGGACCUCAGUAAAGACUUGUGGCUGCUUUAAGAGUGGGCACCUGCCGUCACAUUUUCCUCAGCAUUUUCCCUAUGCUGCUGGCGCAUUGGGUAGCUCUACUCAACCCAUGACGGAUUGCAGAUCUUUUGGCCGCUGCAUUCACAAAUUUGUCCCGAGCCGCUCCAUGGAAGGCAUCCCAGAAGCCUAUCAAUCUUCCCAUGAGUGUUCAAGAUUCCCAAAUCCCCAAAAGGCCCUAAUACCAUCUCUGUGUGAGCAGCUGCCCAUGUGUUGGGGAGUGCCCUGCCUGAGGCAGAGGGCGCACUGCAUCUGUUUGGAGGUGGGUGAGCCUCACGUGUUCUGCACAGGGCAUGAGGUAGGCAUUGGAGAGCAGCCCUGGCCCCCCCACCCAGGGGACAGUAGGUGGGGUUCUAAAUUAUGAGUCAUUAAUCAGCUCUUCAUAUGUCUGAAUUAUUCAUAAAGUAAGUGCUUGUGGUUUGGAUGCUAGUCUAUGAAUAUAUAGGCAAAUUAUUUAUUAUGGCAUUUACAUGGAUUUUGCAAAAAAGUUUUCCAGAAACCCUUUAGGUUCAGUGGUUGAAUUUAACAAAUAUUUCCUGUGCACCUACUCUAUGACAGAAAUUGUGAUUGGCGUUAAAGACAUAAAGAUGAAUAGGAUAAUAAGCACCUGCCUUCAGUGUGCUCUGGGUUAGCAGGGAGAACACACAAUCCAGCUGGUCCACAGAGGCUGACUUAUUAACAACAUUUAUCACAGCAUGUGGGAAAUAUGAGCUAACUGUAUUUCAGAUAGUAACAUGACCACGCCAAAACCAAACCAAAUCAAAACAAGGCAAGAAACCAAACCAACAAACCAACCCCACCACCACAACAGAAACUAACCCAAGUAACAUUGAACACGGAACCUUGACCUAUAACCCUUGUCCUGCAGACAAAAUACCUGCAAACAAAUAUUGAACUUGACUUGUGGGUUUGCUUUCACUGUGGUGCAAGGUAGCAAUUCUGUAAUGAUUUUCUGUCUUGUAGGGUUGAGCAAAUACAAGAUUCCACCAGUGCUGUUGGAAGCCAGCGUUCUUGUUUUUGGAAAGGGGACAUUUUCUUUCUUUCUCUUAUUUUUUUCCCUCCCUCCCUCCCUCCCUCCCUCCCUCCCUCCCUUCCUUCCUUUCCGUCAAAGCACUUACAAUCUUCUCACAUACUAUACAAUUUACUUAUUUAUUGUGUUCCCCAUUUGGUGUCUGUCUUCCCCCCGGGGGCAGGGCUCUUUGCUGCUUCAUCCAAUAUGUGUUCACGAUCUGAGUGCCUGCAAUAGUAGGCAUGUGCUUAUCUAGUGAAUGAUGGGCAAUGGUGGUGGAGAUGCAGAUUAGGACCAGGUCAUGGGGAGUACUGGAUUACGAAAGUGAACACAUUUGGAUUUCAGCCUGUUGGAAAAUGAGAUGAUGCUGGAAGUGGUGAAGGGGCUGCAACAUGAUGAGAG